Papilio polytes (common Mormon) is the source of this 493-nucleotide long non-coding RNA. RefSeq lists it as uncharacterized. The record is from RefSeq and is a predicted model, not a curated record. NCBI's taxonomy places the organism in Eukaryota, Metazoa, Arthropoda, Insecta, Lepidoptera, Papilionidae. The transcript is spliced from 3 exons.
CGCGGAGAGAUGUAUCGUGAAAACGACAUGUUGAACUAAUGAAACCCGACAAUUUAUUGAAAACACGUUGGUACCUGGGAUGCGUAAUGAUUUUCCUUCUUAAAAAAUAUAUACUUCUGCUGGGUAAUGUCAAAAGUUGACCGAUGUUACACAAUACUGUGUAACAUGCUACACUCUUGCAGGGUAUCAGGGACGCAACGAGCUCGAUGCAAACGUUACACCACGUAACGUCGGUCUACCUCUGGUGGUUUCGUACUAAACAGUCCAACUCUUUAGUUAAGAUUGUCAGAACUGAGAUCGGUCUUUAUGUUUUUAAUAUCUGUGCGUAUUAAUAUUUAACGUAUUAUUUUUAAUAUCCAUUAUGGCCCAACGCCAGUACGCAAUGUACACAAACAUUUUAAUGUGACAUCUAUCUGAAUGCCAACUGAAAGGGUCCGUUAACAAGAUAGUUUGUUUUAAUUAAAGUUGCCUGCAAAAUUAUGUAUCCGCGGUA